This 88-nucleotide transfer RNA is filed under the name Waddlia chondrophila WSU 86-1044. Its description in RNAcentral is "tRNA-Ser (GGA) (tRNA-Ser-GGA-1-1)". It matches the Rfam family "tRNA". From Rfam's summary of the family: Transfer RNA (tRNA) molecules are approximately 80 nucleotides in length. Their secondary structure includes four short double-helical elements and three loops (D, anti-codon, and T loops). RNAcentral also lists the same sequence under 1 other name. The record is from Rfam by way of RNAcentral. Lineage: Bacteria; Pseudomonadati; Chlamydiota; Chlamydiia; Parachlamydiales; Waddliaceae.
GGAGGAGUGUCCGAGCGGCCGAAGGAGCACGCUUGGAAAGCGUGUGUGCGCUAACCCCGUACCGAGGGUUCGAAUCCCUCCUCCUCCG